CGCGUAUCGGUCGAUCUCUCGGUUCAAGGUACUGUUCCAAUUUAUUUUCCCAAUUCAAUCAGUCAAUCGAUUUCUGCGUUAUAUGCAAUCGUUUGGGUGCUGAGAAAAUGAAAGAAAAUUUUGAAUCGCAAAAUUUUCAUCAUCCAGGGUUCGAGAAUACUGAAAUUUGCAUUUUACCUGUAACUUAUAAUACACUUUGGCUUGAAUUUUUUAAUUAUUUGAUUUUUUUUUUUCGGAUUUUUGGCAGCAAAGAGAGUGAGAGAGAUAACAUAGUAAACAAAAUGUGGUAUAUUUGUAAGCAAAGAUACCAUGCUUACAAAUGUCUCUCUUCAUGAUGGUAGUGCACUGGUGCUGUUUGGUUAUCCAAAUAACAGUAAAUUAGAUUUGCACGAUAUACAAAUCACGCGCUUUUAGAGAGGGGAAUCUUUGUGUCACAUCACAAUAUAACCAUCUUAUCUUACCCACUUUGUUAUCCAUCGACACGUGUUGUACUAUCGGACUUGAAAUAUGUUUAAAACGUUUUUGAUUUUGACAAUAAAAAACACACAAAAAAAAAAAAAAAAAAAAAAA
Molecule: long non-coding RNA, 570 nt
Filed under: Vitis vinifera (wine grape)
Lineage: Eukaryota; Viridiplantae; Streptophyta; Magnoliopsida; Vitales; Vitaceae
Description: long non-coding RNA (VVIN_LNC007511)
Source: RNAcentral